GCAAUCGCUACUAUGAGCCAGGGGGAUCCAUUCGGGACUUUUGUUCGGUUUUUACAGAUUUGUGAAUUGACUGACCGCACACGCUGAAUUCAUGGAACUGUUUUGGGGAGAAGCCGCAUGUGUGAUCGGUAAACGGGACCCUCCACACUUUUUCAGAACCCCUAAACCGAUCUGGGUGAAAUUUGGAUAUGUUUGUCUCCCAG
Pelobates cultripes (western spadefoot toad) is the source of this 203-nucleotide non-coding RNA. The record is from the annotation of a GenBank genome assembly. Lineage: Eukaryota; Metazoa; Chordata; Amphibia; Anura; Pelobatidae.